CAGCUCUCCCCAGGGAAUUUCGCUGGUUUACAAAAAGUAGUGCAUUCAUAGUCAAUCUUGCUUUUUGCUUGCUGCUUUUUAAAUGCCUUUAGUUCAGACUGUCCCAUCUGCCAGACCUCUGCAGUCAGCAAAGAGAGCCCAGGCAGCAGUUCAAGUUGGAAGAAGCCAGAAUCCCCUGCCCUGCUACAUCUUAAAUCAGAGUUUUGGAGCUGCUUCUGAGACCAGGAGACAGCAGGUAGGUGUGUCUCUAAGACACCUUUCUCUAGCCAUAUUUCUGUAAGGAGUUAGAUAUUAAGUAUUUUCUAUUGUUCUAUGGUGUGGUUGAAGAUGAAGCUGUAUUUGGCUGUGACAAUAAAACUUAAUGUAUGUUCUGGGGAGAUGGUUCAGUUGGUAAAGUGCUUGCCAUGCAAGUAUGAGGACCUAAGUGUUUGAUCCUUAGAAUCCACAUCAAAAAGCCACACUCUGUGACAGAUGCUUGCAAUUCCAAUGCUGGGGAGAUGGAGAAAUGAGGCUCACUGGUGCUCACUACCCAGUUACCUUAGCUUACUUAGUUAGCAAUGACAGGCCCUGCCUCAUAAUAAGGUGGACAAUGACUGAAGAAUAAUACCUGAGACUGUCCUCUGACCUCUGCAAACACACACACACACACACACACACACACUAUACACACAUACACACUACAUGCACAUUACACACACAUUAUACAUACAUACACACACCACACACAUUACACACACACACACACACUAUACACACAUACACACUACAUGCACAUUACACACACAUUAUACAUACAAACACACACCACACACAUUACACACACACACUACACACACACACAACACAAACAUAUACACACACAUUAUAGACUACACACACAUAUUAUACAUACGUACACACCACAUAGACAUUAUACAACAUACACAUACCGCACACAUUAUACACACAUAUACACUACACAUACACACACUGCACACAUAAACAAUACACACACAUACACAUACCACACACAUUAUACACACAUACACACUACACAUACACACACUGCACACAUAAACAAUACACACACAUACAUACUAUACACACACUACAAACACACACAAACAAUACACACACACUAUGCGCAUACACUACACAUACACAGAUUCACACAUUAUACACACACAUAUACAUUAUACACAUAUUACACACACAUUAUUAUCACACAUACACACUAUACACACAUUAUAUACACAUACACACUACACACACACACUACACACACACACACACACACACACACAUACACACACACACACGUAAAUAUGGGCCAUAUAACUUCAUGUAAUUUGUCAUGGACCAGUAUUAUAGUUGGUGGUAAACCUUUGGAAAUAUAAAAAUAGCUAUGAAUGCUGUAAAAAUAAGAGGUUAUGUGCUGCUCUUCCACAGUGUGAGAAGACCUUCUGUCUGGUCAAGUAGUUUUGGACAUCUGAGACUUUUCUAGAAACAAUGUAAAAUUUGCACAUACACACAUACUCUAUUUUCCCCAAACAAAGGUAGUCUUUGCUGGAUGUGCUGGUUCACACCUAUAAAACUAGCACUUGGAAUGCAGAAGCAAGUUGGAAUUCAAUGCCAGCCUGGACUACAGCCUGAGACUUAUCUCAGGAAACAAAACAAACAAACCUUGUCACAAUGCUGAUGUUGUGGUUUGCCCUGGUUACUGUAUUUUGAUGCUAAUUCCACUGCCCCAAGGACAGCUGCCUAGUCAAGGACUCAGAACUCAGGUAACUUCACCAGAGCCACCUCCCCAUUGAAUUUGUAAAGUACUGGUGAGGGGCAGGUACAGGAUAGAAGGAGGCCUGUCAUUGGAGGAGAAGGAAGGAUGGGUGGGAGAGAAGUUUGAAGGAAGAGGAGGAGACUAGGGGAGAGAGAAGAGAGAGGGAGAGAGGGGAGAAGCCUUGGCAGGACAAGAUGGCAGGUGAUGUUAAGAUUCUGCUCUGUGUAUUUACAGGUUGUUAUUAACGUUCUCAAGGGAUGGAUAGUACUGGGCUUUGUAUGUUUAAGUGGGCAAUUAUAUCAUACCAAUUGGGUCAAAGAUUAUUGUGUUGUAUGUUCUUUUAUGUGAGGGUUUGAGAGUAGGAAAGUGUGCGGUUGAGCUGUGUUUCCGCCAAGAUAUUUAGCAGAUACCUUGGGCACCAUGGUGUGGACCAAGCGGAUAAAAGACAACUACUCUUAAUUAUUUUUAUAUUUUUACAACAACAAGAUGGCGCCCAAUGUGGGGCACCAUCUGUUGUUGUAUAAAUAUAAAAAUAAUAAGGAAUAACAGUGUCUUUUGCCCCACUAGGUCCUCACUGCGGUGCCCCAAGAUAUCUGCUAGAUAUCUUGGUGGAAACACAGCCCAGCCGCACACUUUCUUACACUCAAACCCUCACAUAAAAGAACACACAACACAAUAAUCUUAGAUCCAAUUGGUAAAAUAUAAUUGCUGAUACUUGUAAUUCCUGAGUAAAUCUGUUUCACUAAUAUUCUUCUCAUUAUAAUGGCAUCUUGGGGGGGGGGGGUUGGGGAUUUAGCUCAGUGGUAGAGCGCUUGCCUAGCAAGCACACGGCCCUGGGUUCAGUCCCCAGCUCUGAAAAAAGAAAAAAAGAAUAAUGGCAUUUUGGGAAGAGUUAUCCCAAAGGCAGACUCCAGUAUUGAAGAUUAUUUAAAAAUACCUUUUAACAGAUUUAACAGGUUAGUCACAACGGAGGUUAUUAUGUGGACCAAGUUGCUUUCGUAUCAUCAAGUUCAUCUCCAUCCUUCUCUUGUUCUACUCCACCAAAUAAAGCAUUUCUUCCCCAGCAACUUUAUCCUUUGGCUGCCAGGGAGGCAGAUGAGAGUAAGGCAGAAGCCAGGACACCUCUCCAGCUCUUGAUCCGGAGGCAUCUUAGUGUCCUCAGGACAUCCCCCUUCAGAAACAGUAGCAGCUUUUCAUUAGCCUUGUUAAUUAUCUGUGUGGUACUGGAGUGUGAAUUCCCCAUCCUGGUGGCCAGUUAAUUUUCCUUCCUUGGCAAUGCCUUUCAAUUUAGCCCAGGCCAUCUGCUUCUGGAAAGUGAUCUUUUGUAUGAAAUCUUGCCUCAAACCAGUUCUCUUGGGCCUUUUCAGUUUAACGUUUACUUUUUCUGCUCCACCAGGGACAACUUGCUCUUGUUUACUAAAGAACGUUCACCAAAGGCCUCUGAAGACCUCUAAAAAUUCAUCAGAGGUCAAAGAAGGCAAUUUUUAUCCAAUUCAGGAGGGUGGAAGGGAAUCAGAAUCUUGGGAUUGCUGUUGGUCAGGAAGCAGAGCAAGGCAUGCCUGAAUAGUCCUGACGCUGCUUUUAGGAGGAUGAAGUGGACCUGGAGAUGUUGGUGGAAAGCAAGCACAGUGCCGGUGAUGCUGGGAAGGUAAUGAUUUCUUUUUUUUUUUUUUUUUUUUUUAAAGAUUUAUUUAUUUAUUAUAUAUAAGUACACUGUAGCUGUCUUCAGAUACACCAGAAGAGGGCAUCAGAUCUCUUUACAGAUGGUUGUGAGCCACCAUGUGGUUGCUGGGAAUUGAACUCAUGACCUCUGGAAGAGCAGUCGGGUGCUCUUAACCGCUGAGCCAUCUCUCCAGCCCAUGAUUUCUUAUCUGUGGUUGUAAACUAUCUUUCUUCCCUUUCCCUGUCACAGACAUAAUUAUGGGAUGUUUUGUCUCCAUUUGUCUAGUACAGAGAACAUAAUGGCCUUCUUUCUGAUUGUUCAGGUUGGAAAGAAGUGCGUUCGUUCAGUUGUCCCAAUUUUUAGCUGUCUGUGGCCAGAUUUAUGUUUCAAUUGACCUCGCAGACUUAUGGUGAAGACUCGAUAUAAUUGUAUGAUGACACUUGAAUGUUCAGAGAAAUACACUUGACAUUCGGUACCUGUGCUGUUUAUUUUUCUGUUGCUGCCAAAGUUACAGAAGACGGAGUUUAUUUUGGCUUACAGUUCAAGGGGAUUACAGUCCAUAAUGGUGAGGACAGCAUGACAUCAGGCAGCUACAAAAGGAAGCUGAGAGAUCGGAUCUUUAAACAUAAAUGAAGAACAGAGAGAAAAUUGCAAGUGGGGCAAGGCAAUGACUUUUUUUUUCUCCAUCUUUAUUAAAUUGGGUAUUUCUUAUUUACAUUUCUUUUUUUUUUAAAGAUUUAUCUAUUUAUUUAUUUACUUAUUUAUUUACUAUCUGUAAGUACACUGUAGCUGUCUUCAGAGACACCAGAAGAGGGUGUCAGAUCUCAUUACAGAUGGUUAUGAGCCACCAUGUGGUUGCUGGGAUUUGAACUCAGGACCUCUGGUAGGGCAGUCAGUGCUCCUAACCACUGAGCCAUCUCUCCAGCCCUCUUAUUUACAUUUCAAUUGUUAUUACCUUUCCUGGUUUCGAGGAAAACAUCCCCCUAGCCCCUCCCCGUCCCGUUCUAUAUGGUUGUUCCACUCCCCAUCCUCCUCCCAUUACCGCCCUGCCCCCAACAAUCCCGUUCACUGGGGGUUCAGUCUUGGCAGGACCAAGGGCUUCCCCUUCCAUUGGUGCCCUUACUAGGCUAUUCAUUGCCACCUAUGCAGCUGGAGCCCAGGGUCAGUCCAUGUAUAGUCUUUGGGUAGUGGCUUAGUCCCUGGAAGCUCUGGUUGCUUGGCAUUGUUGUUCAUAUGGGGUUUCAAGCCCCUUCAAGCUCUUUCAGUCCUUUCUCUGAUUCCUUCAACGGGGGUCCUGUUCUCAGUUCAAUGGUUUGCUGCUGACAUUCGCCUAUGUAUUUGCCAUACUCUGGCUGUGUCUCUCAGGAGAGAUCUACAUCCGGUUCCUAUCAGCCUGCACUUCUUUGCUUCAUCCAUAUACAGCUUGGUGGCUGUAUAUGUAUGGGCCACAUGUGCAGCAGACUCUGAAUGGGCAUUCCUUCAGCCUCUGUUCUAAACUUGGCAAUGACCUUUAAAGCUCAUCCUCAGCAACAUACUUUCUCAGAGCAGAUGUACCACCUCCCCAAUGAAUGUCACCAAAUAGUAUAAUACCCAAGUCUAUGGGGGACAUAGCUUGUUCAAAACACUGCACUAUCUAAGAACAUUUUAUUGAUACUGAUGUCAGGAACAGACUUCGAUGGUAUCUGGGGCUGCUUGUACUGGCUCAUAGGAGUGAGCUGUGCAAAUAUCUUUCCAACUCUACAUUGGGUGACAUAAGUGACUUUAUAAUGAAUGUUCUUAGGUCUGGGGUACAAGGGGGACACUGAGGCAGAUUGCCCUUUUGGGUAAGAGGUUUAUUAGAAGAGAUAGUCACAGUGUUGUAGUUUGCUUUUCUGUUGCAGUGGCAAACAUCACAGCCAAAAGCAAAUGGAGUACACAGGGGUUUAUUUCAGCUUACAGGACUGCAACUCAUCAUGAAAGAAAUCUGGGCAGGAUGUGGUGUCAGGAAAGGAAACAGAAAUUUUGUAGAAACAACUGCUUACUGGCUUGCUCUUUAUGGCUUGCUCAACCUCAUUUCUCAAGCAACCCAGGGCCAGCAUCUGCCCAGGGGAGGCACUGCUCAUAUUGGACAUGUCAGUCAUCAAUCAAGGAAAUGUUUCUCAGACAUAUCCAUUGGCCAAGCUAAUCAAAGGGAUUCCCCAAUUGAAUCUCUCUCAGCUGGGUGUGUCAAGUUGACAGCUGAAGCUAAUCAGGAGAAAUGCCAUGGACAAACAGCUGUAGGAAAGAGGCUACUACAGGGGAACAGGGCUGUAUCAAUAUAUGUAUAACCUGAAUCAGCUAUGGUGAGAGGAUUUGCCCCUCUGAAAUUGGCAAGCUCUUGACCAGCAUUGUGUUUUUUUGCCCAACAGUGGCUGCUAAAUAUGUGUCAGUAUACUCCUGCUUGGGAAUUGUCUGGAGAGUGAGCUACCAAUGACAACAUAAAUGUGACAACAGACUGCUACUUUACUCUUUGAUUUGAUGACAGUGGGAAACAUGUUUAUCUCUGACUCUCCAACUCCUUUCCACUACUGCAAUGAUCAAGUUCAUUAUAACAAGGAAAUAUAGCCUAUACUCAGCUUCCUACACAGGAUCAGAGACAAGUUUUUCAAUACAUUAAUUUAAAACCCUUUACAAUUCCCAGUAGCAAUCCUGGGCCAUCUUUCCCUUUCUCCUUUUCUUCUCUUCUUUCUUCUUCAACUUGGAAAGUGAAAUUUAAUUUUUCAUUUUUAGAAAGGUGACCAUUUUUAUAGCAGCAGUCUUCUGUUCACAGUAUCAAGUUUAUUUCAGAUCUGGAGGAGAAAGAGAGAAAGAAAGGAAGAAAGAGAGAGAGAAAGAAAGAGAGAGAGAGAGAGAGAGAGAGAGAGAGAGGGAAAGAAUUUAAAAAAAACAAAACAAAACAAAAAAAAACUCCUCGGCUUUCAGAGCUUUCCUAGGCAGGUCCUUUUUGGUUGGAAUCUAAUAACCGUCGGCUCCACGCCAGACAAGGAACCGUUUCCUGUACAGAGUUCAGAGACCACCUUUGUCAGCGUCCUUUGAAGGACAGGAACGAAGAAAAGGACUUGUUGAAAUCACUAAGGUGUGGCUGAGUAAUAGUAGAAACUUAAUUUCAUAGAUUGGGUUAAACAGCAAUUAAAUAAGUCUUUAGGGUGACCUUGUGGCGCAACGGUAGCGCGUCUGACUCCAGAUCAGAAGGUUGCGUGUUCAAAUCACGUCGGGGUCAGUGUUUUAUACUUGCGAUUACUCUUCAAAGAGUAGGAAAAGAGUCCUUCCUCUCAGUUUACAAUGCCGAAUUAUUGUAGUUAUAAGAAAGAAGAAUCCAGGCAGGUACCCACAAGUAAUUUAGUAACUUACUACAAGCAUUUUGAAUUUCGGUACCCACUCUUGUUCCUGUUUUAACCCCAGAUGCUACUCUUCUAUACUCGCAACGUCUCCUAUAGCAACCGCUAGCCUUUGUAGACUCUUACUUAGUCUCUAUAUUUAAAAAACAAAAGUGUACAAACGUGCCAGCACUUACUGCUCUAUGGCACCAGAUCUACCAGAGCACCAGCACGUUUAUUUCUUCAGAAGAAUUACGUUUGUUAGACCUAAGAGGGUGGGGGAAACAUUUCCACGACUGUCUAAUUAAAAGGAAACUUUACUUAGACUGACCAAACGGCUGCCUCAACCCUAAGUCAGGAUUUCAGAUAGCGGCCUUCACUGGAUUUUGAGGUUCCUUUCCUGGAGAAGGGUUAGGGUUGAUAGAAAACAGCUGUCGAGAUAAUUGGCUGUUGGCACUUGAACAGAAAGAGGGAGGGAGGUGUCAAGGCUCAAGGCUGCGUAUGGGGUAGAUAAGCAUGAUAGAACACAGCUGUCGGGAUAACUGGCUGUUAGAAAGGAGGCAAGAAAAAUAAGUGCAAGACUACUUCAUGUAGGAGAGUCAUCAAGGUAUCUGAGAAGUCACAUUUUCAUAAGGCAAAAGGGCAAUCAUAUUUGGCAAACAGGAGGUGAGCAAGGCACAAAAGGGUGGACACACAUCAUGAGGUUCCGAGUCUAGGUUGAAAACAUAGUUUGCAGGAUACAAUUAGGCUUAGGAAACAGAAAUGUAUUCUUAUAAGGUAUGGAGACUGAAUAACAGCGUGGGAAAAUGACUCCUGUUUGGGUUUCACACUUUGUACUGAUGAUUUUUAAAAUCAGGAAUUCGAUCUGUCAGCAGAUGAUAUAAACGAGGUACUGCACACAACCAAUUAUUUUUGUUUGUUUUCCGGUUUUGUUUUAUUUUGUGACAGGGUUUCUGUGUGUAGCCUUGGCUGGCCUCCAGCUGAGCCUCUCCUGGUCUAAGGAUUAAAGGGGUGACCCAUCCAGCCCCCUACUGUCUGCUAUUUUUUUCUAUUUUAAGAAUUAUUUUCUGUGUAUGAAUAUCUUCAUGUAUGCAUAUGCACCGUGUGCCAAGGAAAUCAAAAGAAGAUAUUGAGUUCCCUGGAACUGGAGUUAUAUUAUAGAUGGUUGUGAGCCACCGUGUGGGUACAGGGAAUUAUACUCAGGCUUUAUACAAGAGCAACCCGUAAUCUUAAUUACUGAGCCAUCUAUCUCUACAGACCCUUUUUUUUCUAUUUGCAAUAGUUGUGGUGCUCUUGAUCCAUGGAGAUUUCAGAAGGAUUACAUGCCAUAUAGCAAUUUAGAAAAGGUUUUAAAAAGAAGUGGGGGGGGGGUAUCAAAAGAUAAUUAGCACAGUAGCUUUACUACAGUAGCGUGCUGGGCCCAUAACCCAGAGGUCGUUGGGUCGAAACCAUCCUCUGCUAGAAUUUUUCUUCUAGGAACAUAUUUUGAGUCUUCCUAAUCCGAGUGCAUCUCUGGUAUAUAUAAAGUAUUAACAAUAAAAGAAGGGAUUGACCAAGGGCAGAGAGUUGUUGAGAAGAUUGUACAGAGGAUACUUAUUUCUGUAGAUGAGGCUUGAUAUUAAGGGAAGUCCUUAAGGAGAGGAGUGUGAGUCACAGUCACCUACUGCAGUGAUGCUCUUUGAAGAAAAACAACCACUAUGUAUGAAAGAAGUGUGGCGAAGUUAAAUUCUAGCAGAUAUUUUUUUGUAUAAGGUAAAAUGUAUAAAAACAAUUAAUUUACAGAAAUAUAAUACAGGAAAAAAACUUGAGCAUUCCUAAACAAGAUAAAGCAAAAUAAGGAUGCCGAGCCAGCCAGGAGUCGAACCUGGAAUCUUCUGAUCCGUAGUCAGACGCGUUAUCCAUUGCGCCACUGGCCCAUCUCUAGAUCUAUGUACAUAAAGAAAGAGGAAGUGACAGUAUUAUGUUGAGGUUCUAAGGUUACACUUGGGAAAUACUAUUUAUUUCAUUUCAAAGAAGAUGCAAAACUAGAAGUAAAACUAGAAGUUUUACUGGUGUCUUUAAAUUAAUUUACUUUCGUUCAAUUUCUUCAUGAGAAAAACAUCUAAAACGCCGAUUAGGAAGUUUAUUAUGAAAUAGCAAUUCUAUUAUUUUAAGUGAAUUCCAACCAGGAAGUUUAUAUCUACUCCAGUGAAAUGGAGAAGUCAUUGAUGUCAUUUAUAAAACAUCCGAGGUGGACUAUUUACUCUCAAGUAGAGUUGGAAAUCACAAAAGCCCACAGCCGUAGUCGGCAGGAUUCGAACCUACGCGGGGAGACCCCAAUGGAUUUCUAGUCCAUCGCCUUAACCACUCGGCCACGACUACAAGUGCUAUAACUUUUCUUCAGGAUUCAGUAUUCUACAUCUUAAUGUAUAUCACACAUUGACUACCCUUCUGGUAUUAUUAAGGAUUUGUAAUUUGUUGAAUUCAUGAUCUACCAAUGGAAUCAGAGAGGAAUCAAAUUUAAUUCCAUACAUGAAAGUGGGGACUUGAAGGACAUUGUUUGAUUCUUUAGAAAACAAAUCCGCAAUAUGUUCUAGGAACUGUAUCACAAGCCAAAACUUGUGAUAUUUAUCCUCACGCGUCCCAGAAACAUUAAAUGUCACAAAUUUUAAGUCUGACAGAGGAGGGUUGUUCUUCAGAAAUUCACAUGUACAACUAGUUAAUCCAGUACUUGCAAUACAGCUUAAAUAAAACUUAACUGCCAUUAAAAUUAGCAUUUUAAAAUUCCAUCGAAACAUUUUACAGGUGAGACUAUCGUUUGUUUAUUUGUCUAGCUGUAGAUAUUUUUAGACCAUUAAAAAUAUUUCUGAGGGACUGGAGUGAUAGCUCAGAGGUUAAGAGCACUGAAUGCUCUUCCAUAGGACUUGAGUUCAAUUCCCAGCAACCACAUGGUGGCUCACAACCAUCUAUAGUGGGACUAAUGCCCUCUUUUGGUGUGUCUGAAGAUAGCUACAGUGUACGCAUAUACAUUAAAUAAUAAAUAAAUCUUUUUUUAAAAAUUUAUCAGUACAUUGUUGCUCUCAGAUCUUAUUUCAGAUGGUUGUGAGCCACCAUGUGGUUGCUGGGAAUUGAACUUAGGACCUCUGGAAGAGCAGUCAGUGCUCUUAACCGCUGAGCCCAAUAAAUAAAUCUUUAAAAAAUUAUUUCUGAGUGAAGUUAGAAAAUAUUUUUGAUGGUUAAAUCCUUUUCAUUCUGAGGGAUCUUCUCUCAUAGAAGGACGUAUCUAAUAUUUUGCAGAUAAUAAUUUAGAAAUACAAAGAUCAUUCCCAAUGACAGGACAGAACCUCACAAACUUCACUUUUCUGAAACUUGAGUACCGUGGUCACAAUACUGUCCUGUUUAUGCAUUCGUGAGAACACAAGGACUUCCGUUUCAUCUAAGGCUGAGAAACCACCGCUCGUGUUUUCUCUCCUAGGCUCCAGAAUAUUUAGGUGCCCUAGUCAUUUCUUUUUUGCUUGUCCCCAAAGUAACACUUUCUAACUCCAAAGGUUCCACCCUCCCAGGUAUGGCAGUAUGUGCCUGUAAUUCCAGCCGCCUCGGAGGCUAAGGCAAGGAGAUAACUGAAUUGGGGGAUAGACUUGGCUACAUAGUUAGAGGUUAUCUCAUGCUACAUAGUGAUGCCCUGUCACAAAGGAAUUAAAAAUUAAAAGAAAAAAAAAUCCCGCCACAACCUUCAAGAUUUUUUUAAGUAUCAACAUUUACAGACGCGAUUAAAAUGAAACGUGCUGCGUGUUCCAGUAGCCGAGAAACUCGCUCUAGAUCCCACCCACGGAGGUCUUAGCGUAUUCCCUACAGUCACUGUAGAACCCAAGGUGCGUGAAGACAGCUGCCAAUUCUACAUUUGAUUUAAAUGUUACUGUUGUUGUUAAACUCUGAAUUUUGCAUGGGGAGCUUGAUAAAUAUUCAUAGAAUGAAUUAUACCUAAGCUCAGAUCUGAAUGUGUAUGACGGAGCCAAGCUGGAGGCAAUGAAGUUGUGUUCUAAACUUAAACCUCAUGGAACGUGGCACCAGAGGAAGAAAGAUCUGCCUAUGAGAAUUGCUUUUUGAAAGACAACGAGAAAUCACAUUGGAGACAUCGUGGAAGGUGGAUUAUGUCUACCACACGGUUGUUCUUCCUUCUACAGAGAAGAUUACCUCAUAAUGAAAAGGAUUUGAUCAUCAAAACUUUUUACUAAUUUCCCUCAGAAAUAAUCCUUUCUGGGGUUAAAAUAUUUUCAGCCAGAUAAAGAAACAAAAGAUAGUCUUGCCUGUAAAAUAUUUUGGUGGAAUUUUAAAAUGCUAAUUUUACUGGCAGCUGUUUCAGCUUGACCUUUAUCCCACCUAGUAUUUUUUGUCCUCCCAGCCAGACCACUUGUCAGGCUAGAAAACAUGCAGCCACACUUCCUCAUGAAGCAAACACUUCUUUCUUCACCCUGAUCCUUGCUUUGUUUACAGCCAAUGUGCUCAUCCUUAGGGCUCUUUUUUGUGAGUAGCUUUUGCCUUGCCUUGCCUUGCCUCUCUCUCUGUCUCUCUCUGUCUCUCUCUCUCUCUCCCUCCCUCCCUCCCUCUGUCUCUCUCUCUCUGUCUCUCUGUCUCUCUCUCUCUCUCUCUCUCUCUCUCUCUCUCUCUCUCUCUCUCUUUUCCUCUCCUUCCCUCUCUCCCUCUUUCUUUCCUUUUCAAAUUCAUUUUUUUAGACAGAUUUAUUUAUCUUAUUAUAUACACUGCAGCUAUCUUCAGACCCACCAGAAGAGGGCAUCAGAUCUCGUUACAGAUGGUUGUGAGCCACCCACCAUGUGGUUGCUGGGAUUUGAACUCAGGACCUCUGGAAGGGAGGUCAGUGAGCCAUCUCUUCAGCCCUCCUUUUUAAAUUCAAACAGGAAAAAAAAAAUUGAGUAGGGUCUUGCUUUGUAGCCCAGGCAGGCCUACCACUUGGAAUCUUCCAGCCUCAGCCUGAGGGCUGAGAUUACGGGUAUAGGCUACUACACUCAGCAAAAUAUUUAUUAUGAUAUUUUCAAUAUAUAAUGAAAGUGGAAAUGGAAUUAUUUAUAUAUUCAUCAUCCACAGUCAACAAGUAACUGUUUAUUAGUUUCAUCUAGUUUUUAAAUUUUUUUACUGAACAACAUUAAAUUAAUUUAGGGACAUAUGAUUAAUAUAUAAACAUGUCAUGUAUCACAUGAACAUAUAUUGAUACAGCCACUGUGCCCUUGUCCAAUUGAAGACGCUGUAACAAUUCUUUACAGGUAUCUAGUAAUGUUUUGUUGUCUUUUACGUUUCUUUAAAAUAUAAGGUUUUUUCCUUUCCCCUUCUUUUUCUUCUCCGACUCCCUCUGAGACCUUGUUUCAUUCCGAAGUCCUUGCUGAAACCCCUUGUGUAGACAGUGAGAUCUUUAAACUUGUGAUGAUGCUCCUGCCUCUGUAUUGGGAUUACAAGAAUAGUAGUUGUUUUUUAUUCCGCCCCUGGUUCAAGUUGCUUCAUACUGUUUGACAGUAAUGGCUACUUCAGUCUCUGAGUUUGAAGUUUUCCAGAGUUUUCGCUUUGUUAUUUUGCUCUGCUACAAACUUUUUUUAAAAAGUCUUCUUUGUGCUUACCCGGUAUUAAGGUUACAUCAAGAAGCAGUUGUCAGAUGACCUAUUGUCAAAGAUGAAAAGCAAAAGCCACUAUCCAGAUCAACCACGAAGGGAUUCGAACCCUCAAUCUUCUGAUCCGAAGUCAGACGCCUUAUCCAUUAGGCCACGUGGUCCCACAUGGAGAAUAUGCUGCUCAUGUAUUAUUGGAAAACAAUCUUUUCUCUUUGCGCUUUAUGGUGAUUGAUGUUAUUACAAAUUUAUCAGUGAACUAUGUUUAAAUCUAAUAUCAUGGAGUUCUUUCUGAUCAGGAACUCUCGAAUAUAGAAAUUUGAUGCACCAAUUAUAGUUGUUUUUGUUGUUGUUUUUAAAUCGUUAGAUCAGAAGCAAGAAUAAAAGGCCACUACAAGCGCAAGGGCUUCCACGGGGCAUUAAAGGAAGGGAGCCACUGCUGCACACACAGACCGUGUACCACUCACUGCCCUGCAAUGUUUCCAGGUCAGGAAUUCAACUUGUGCACUGGACAGACCCACCCAAAUAAAUCUAAGACAUAAAUUCAGAUAGUAUAAAAGACACUCAUGAACAGAGACCAGAACUUUUAUAAUCUGGACGGUUGAGGGAGGAGCAACAGGACCUGUUAGGCCUCAGAAGGCUCAGCUUCAAACUAAGACGACGGUGAAGGUAAUGGGGCUGGUACCAUCUGCCUCUUCUGCUUCCACUGUGUAGUUUCUCAUUCAGUAGGGGACAGCACUGCGCUGGGCUGAGGCGACCUUCAGGUGCUCUACUGUGUCCUCCAGAUUCCUUAGAUUCAUGUGUCUAAACCUAGAUCUUCUGAAUGUCACUGUACUGGAAGAUGAAUUCUUUAAAGAGGCGACAAGGCAAAACGUGACUGUCAUUCUUACAUUCUAACAAGAAGAGUAUAUUAGAACACUGGUCCACAAAGAAAACCACAUAAAGAAGAUCAUUGCCUGCAAGCCAGGGGAAAGAAUCCUUAGGGAGGAUAUAUAUAUGUACAUAUACAGUAUCUAUUCAGUAUAUACUGUGUGCACAUCAGUAUAAACUAUAUGUAGGAUAUAUACUAUAUAUGUAUAUAUUUAUAUCAGUAUAAUUUUUAAAAAGUAGAAAAACAAAUUAGAAACAAAGUAGAAAAAGAAAUUCCUGUUGUUCAAAUACUGCACCUUACAGUAUUCAUUAUGGCCGCCCUAUAUGACUACUACUUUGUCUAACACAAUCCUAGAAGGUCAGAAGUUGUGUCUCUCUCCCUUUUCCCCACUUCCUUCUGCUCUUCCCAGGUUGUCGCACUGUAGAUUGGAAUAUCCUGGAAUUCGCUAUAUAGCCUAGACCAUCCUCACACUGGAAGCUUAUCUUCAUAAGAAUGUGUUUCUAGCCUGGUUUUGCCUGUUACUCCUUUUAAGAGUUCAUUUCAGCUUGUAGAGAAAGAACACCAAGUCUCAAAUCUGACUUGAGGAAUAAACUUUGAAGAUAUUAAUGGUCUGAAGAGCAAGAAAUAAAGAAAUCAAAGAACACACGACAGUAAGCAAUGAGGUGGGGCAGGGGAAACUCCCAAACGUUUUCCUCUGGCUCAUGUGGACAUUUGAUCAAAACACGUUCUUUUGAUUCAUCUUCAGAUUCUACAGCAAGAAAAUUUCCUUUUUCUCAAUUCCCAGCUAAAAGAGGGUUCUGUAAUGUACGUAAUUUCCAGUAUUAGUCAGGAAGAUGGUUGCAAAUUUGAAGCAAGACCCUGUCUCAAAACUCCUAAUAAUGGGCUCUUGGGCACUCAAAUUCAAGUAAGUAGCUACUUUGCUUCGAAAUACAAUCCUUUAGAAGACCCAGAACCCCUUCCCCAAACCCGACCCUAGUAACAACAGCAAUAAUAGAUCAGCUGUUCUGCUGACCCUGGGGUAAUUGCCCACAGAAUCGAGGAUUACCUCGGUGAGUGUGCUUUCUUUGUAUCAUUGCUGUGAACGGAGCGAUCUGUGUAGGCAUUAUGGAAGCUAGUGGAGUAUGACCUGGAGGCGAGGCUUUAGGGCUAAUAGUAGCCCUCCAGGCAGAAAAUGGUCGCACUCACAGGCCAAUUCUCCUGGCUCACUGCAAAGCUAGAAGUUUGGUCUAGGGUUAGAAGAGAUGUUUCUUGGUUCUGUUUACUGUGACUAUAAAGUACAUUCAUCUACUGUUUUUCUGAAAAUGAGACAAAAUUAGCAAAUGAGAAAACUGUAUGAAAGUAACAAGACAGUUUGAAAGUUAAGGAUAAGUUGGCAGAAUUCCUUACUUUAUCACACAAUGGAGCUAUGAAUUUUGAAAACAUAAAGGAUCAAACUUUGAAACUUUAUUUUAGCACAAGUGGGCAGGUCAUUCUGGAUACUUAGAUGAGCCUGAAAACCCCUUAAGGCUGUGACCUCGUGGCGCAACGGUAGCGCGUCUGACUCCAGAUCAGAAGGUUGCGUGUUCAAAUCACGUCGGGGUCAAGAGUUUUGGUCUAGGUCGGCGAAAAAGAUUCAAAUGAAAUGUUUAUUUAAUUAGUUCCUUGGUUUAAGAUCUGUGCUGAUAAAAAGCGCUGCAUGUUUGCCUUCAGUAAGAUUUCUGUUGUGUCUUAUUCGGGUUUUUACUGGCAUUGAAAAGUGGGUUGCGAGUUCUAGCUUUUGCUACUCUUUAAAAGUGAGUUUGUAGAAAACACAGAACAAGAAUAAAAUUAGAGUGGUUCGCAAGAUCAGGACGGACUGACAGCAAAACUGUGUAACUUGGUAAGGUCUGGGAGCCGUCUGCGGCAUCAAUCAGGAGCAGGGACUAAAAAGUCUGCAAGGAAGGGAUAAACCUCUGUGCUGGUUAGUCUUAUGGCAACUUGACAUAAGCUAAGUGUGAUCUGAAAGGAGAGAACCUCAACUGAAAAAAUGUCUCUUAUAAGAUCAGGCUGUAGACAAGGUCGUAGGGCAUUUUCUCAAUUAGGGAUUGAUGGAGGAGGGGCCAGCUCAUUGCAGGUGGUGCCAUCCCUAGACAGGUAGUUCUGGGUUCUGUAAAAGAGAGGGCCGAACAAGCCAGUAAGCAUCACCCUUCAUGUCCUGAGUUCCUCCUGUCCUGACUACAGUGUGGAAGUAUAAACCCUUUCCUCCCCAGCUUGCUUUUUAGGCCUAGUGUUCAUCGCAGGAAUAGAAAUCCUAACUACGAACAACUCUGAAUGUUCCAGGAAGCUCAUCGGGUUGUAGUCCCUAACGUGUUUUAACUCAAGACUUUAGUACACUAGCAACUCCGGACCUUUCUGGUGACCUCACCUCCCACCAGGAUCUCCUAUCUGUGGCAUGGCUUUGACCUUGGUGAUUAUUGAAAAUUGGGCACCCUGUUUGAUCUGGUUAGCACCCAUAGCUUUCAGGAACAACGCUCCCUAGGAACAUCUACUGGAAUCGGCUUCCCACUCACUGCCUUUCCCACCGCGGACAUUGGCUGCUGUGCCCUGAGCUAUUGGACUCAUUUUACCUCUGCCCAUGUUAAUCCCAACAAAUGAGAGAUCGUUACCCAAAGUCUUUGGUCAAAUUAAGCAAACUUUAUUUUCUGUCACACAGGGCUAACUCCCUAAAGUAGGGUUUGAAAAAAUUUCAUUGGACAUAGGAGGAGGUAGGAUUUAUAAUUAAAAAAACAAAACAAAAACCUGAAGACUAGGGGAUUUUCAAGAGUUUGGGAGAUCUCCAAAGACAUUUGGUUAUGUACAAACUUGACUGAACAUUUUAAAAUUAUUUGGCAGAACAUCUUAUUUUAUCAGGGUAUAUUCAAGGGCCGAGUCAAACAGAUUAGGGUGAAACAGAUUAAAGUGCAGACAACUUGAUUUUUGCACCAAACAGAAACGGACUUGUCUGACCUUGUAACAACAUAUCUUCCAUCCUUAAGAUGGAGUCAGGCUAGUCCAUCACCCACUGUCUGUGGAUAAAUUCUGUCUCCAGUAAUCCAUGGUAUGUAUCACUUAGGCUAAGAUUGCUGUUAAGUUGUUUUCCCCCUUUUUGUGUGUGAACAGUAAAGUGUGCGUUUGAAAAACCAUACCCGACGUGAUGUGUCUGUGAUGUGCAAGUCAUGAAGAUACAGACAUGAAGUUAUUCACCUCUUCCCAGUUUUUUUUUUCUUGCUCAAUAAAAUCUGUGUUUUUACUAUGCUUGCUUUUAAAAGUUAAGAUUGAUUUAUUAGACAAGUUGUGAUUGUGCACAUUUGUGUUUUAAUGGUGUGUAGUGUAUAAUGCGGUUUUAUGGUGUUUUAAUGUUAUGCUUACAUUGAGAUAGUCUAUGUAGCCAAGGCUGGUCUUACCUCUUAUCCUCCUGCUUGGGUUUCUAGAGUGUUGAGAUUACAGAUAUGCACUUGACUUCUAAUUAUCGUUUUUUUUUUUUUCCCCAUGUAAAUCUUACCCUGGCAGCUGCCUGUGCCUGUUAACUAUGUGUUACUGGCCUUUCAGAUCCUGAAGCCUAGUUUGCUUUUUCUCUCCACAGGACUUUUGUGUCUGAUUUUUCUGAGAAUGUGUUCUGAAAAGGUAUUCUCUGCCCUUCGAUGCUUGAUUUAGAUACUUAUUUUUCAGUGCACAACCGAAACAAAUCGGUUCCUCCAAAGCAGCCUUUCUUCUGACUUUAGUCAGAGCUUCACUUUCUGAAUGGCCUCUAUCACCAAGUCCUGGGAAAUCAGUAUGUCUGAAUCUGUAAGCCCAGUGCCUAGCAAAGCAUGUGACAAAUGAAUGAAAAAUAGAAAUAAAACGAAAGGGAAGGGCAUGACUCUCCCUAGGUACGAUGAAAGGGAAAAUUUAUUGUAGAUAAAAGGGGGACAUAGCCAGAGGUAGACAAAACUGGGAAAGUCCUUAGUGGUCAAGACCCUGAUCAUGUGGGAGAGGGGGAUAGGAAGGUAGAGAGUCACAGGAAGGGACAGAAGGAACCAAGUACAGCAGCUAGGGGGCCACAGGUACAAAAGGGAUGAGUAACCAAAAUAGAUCAUACAGGAAAGAGCCUCUGGGGGAAGGGCAGUCCAGUCCCUGGGCUGGAGAGUUCAGGGUGAAGGGCGGGGUAUGCCAACCAUACCCUGUAACAGGUAGGGACUGAGGGAUGCUGGGAGAACCUGGAGGCCAGGUCUGAUUUGAUAUGUUAAACAGACAUCUCAGAGGUUUGUCCAGGGUUUGAAACUUAACAGUGUACAGAAGGUACCUAAUUUUGGAGGAAUUAUGGAAGGAGAUGGAAGAUAUAUAUCACAAAAUACUACUAAAGAGUUUAGGAAAGAUAUUGGAAGUGUAGCUCAGUGGUAGCACACUGACCUGAUAGAGCUUCGAGCAGAAACCUCUAGUAAGGAUAGGGCAGAGUUGCAGCAUCAAGUAAUGUCACUAGCCUGAGGUACUCUCUUGGUUUUCUUCUCUUUCUCUUUUCUUCUCUUCAGUUUUUCAAGAGAACAGUGUUUUUCCUGUGUAACAGUCCUGACUGUCCUGGAACUCACUCUUAUAGAUCAGGCUGGCCUCAAACUCAAAUUCACAGAGAUUUCUGCCUAUCUCUGCCUGUCUCCCAAGUGCUGGGAUUAAAGACCUGCACUACCUCUGCCCUACUGGUGUGUUUGCUAGCCUAUCCUAAAUCAUACAUUGUAAAUUAUUUUCACUGUGGCAUUUUUUUUUACAUUAUAGAGUGUAUUUUGAUCAUAUCCAUCCCUUAUCACCUUAUCUUGUCUCCCCCACUUCUUCCCAAUCAGACACCUUCUAUUUUCAUGGUAUAUGUUUGUGUCUGUGUGUUCCAGUUUUGUCAAGGAUGCUUAUAGGAACAUGACUAAGGAUUACUUAAAGUAGGAUAGGCUUUGGAACUCACAAUUCCCACACAACCUAUUAAUUGCUUAUAGAUCCUCAGGGCACGGUAGAGCCCUAGGAGCCUCUUCUACCUCCUUCACAGGACCAAUCAAAUGAAAGUGAUCACAGCAGCUGAGAAAUCAAAAGUGCAACAAAAGCUUUAUCCUGCCUGGAAGACAACAGUCCAUGUAAAUCCUUCCUCUCUUCUCCCUCUUCUGAGAUAUUCCUUGAAUCUUGGAGGGGGUAAUAACAGAUUUCCAAUUUUUGGUGGAGCUCCUUCUUCUCAGCAUCGUGGCCAGAUAUAAAUCUCUGCAGUUACCACUUCUCACUACAGAGAGCAGCUUCUCACUGUACUAAUCUGUGGUUGUAAGUACAGACAAUUGUUAGAAGGCAAUUUAACAAAACAAUAACAAUUGUUUUCUCAUUAUGGCCUGUGACCUCCAAAAUCUGGGGAUUUUUAAAUUAUCAGAAGUGAAUUCUCUUUUCUGGGGUAGGACUCAAAUUCAACCAGUUAUCUCCAUAACAGAACUGUCACUGCUACAUCAGUAGGCAUGCCUUGCCUGGCUGCUUAGGAGGGUAGGAUGUCAUUUCACAACAGAGUGUGAUUACAUUUCAUAACAGAGUGUCAUUACCACCACCACAAACACCAGUCUGCAUAGAACCAUCCAGAAUUAUGAGGACUGUCCAGGAAGAAGGAAGAUUCUAGUUCGGUUCUAGCUUCAUUUCUCAGUGUCUAGUCACCAGGGUAUGUGAUGUCUUCAAUGGGGGGUUAACCUUCUAGUUCCGGUGGGCAACCAGGGGCAGUGGUAAUGACCAGUAUUGUUUCUAAGGCUUGAGGAGGCCUCCCUGGCCAACAAUCUAUAGAGAAGUAGCACAUCCCUUUUUGGGUUUUCUCUUCAUAGCCAGUGGCUUCUAGUAACAUCUUUAUCCAUUCACAAAUCUGCUAGAACUUUAUUUAUUUUGUUUGUUUAUUUAUUUAUUUGCAUUGCAUUUAGUUACCAUGUACAGAUGUGUGGGAAGGUCAGAGGACAACUUACCAGAAUUGGUUCUCUUUUUCUACUGUGUGGGUCCUGAGACAGUGUCUCACUAGGUAGCCUUGGUUGGCCUAGAACUUGCUAUAUACAAUAAGCUGGCCUUGAACUCACAGUGACACCCUUUCCUUUGCCUCCCAGUGCUGAGAUGAAAGGCCCACAUCACUCUAUCCAUAUUUGUGGCUAUCUUACAAAUACAAAAUGAACUCACAUUUUAUUCUAUCCAAUAUCUAGUGAGCAAGUGUAUAAGCUAUCACAACCACUUAGAAGGAGAACUAAUGUGUACACACAGAUGCACAUGCAAACACACACACACACACACACACACACACACACACACACACACACACACACCCCAAGACACAAGAGGGAAAGUAGAGAAGAGAGAAUGUCUUGUGUAUUGUAUCAGCGCAGUAACCCUCAAUAAAAUGCUGAUUGGCCAAUAAGCUUACACAGAAAAUAGAAGGUAGGGCAUCCAGUAGGGAGAUGGACUCCUGGGACAGGGCAAAAGAGGGAGAUUGGAGGUCAUAAGUAUGGGAGCUGAGCAGAGGUAAUCAGUCACAUGGCACAACUUAGGUUAGAAAGUCCCUAGGGCAUAGUGGUACAUGAAGGGGAGGCAGGCAAGUCUGAGCUCUUGACCAUCGUGAUCUAUGUAUGAAUUCCAGGGCAGACAUGGCCACAUAGCAAAACCAUUUUUCAAAACCAAACCAAACCAGCAUCAACUAAAAACCAAGUAAACAAAACAAGAACGAACUUGAAAGAUGUGUGAAGUCACUGUUUUCUACAUCGAUUAAAUUUCACAGCAUGGGGCUGGAGAGAUAGCUCAGCGGUUAAGAGCACUGACUGCUCUUCCAGAGGUCCUGAGUUCAAAUCCCAGCAACCACAUGGUGGCUCACAACCAUCUGUAAUGGGAUCCAAUGCCCUCUUCUGGUGUGUCUGAAGACAGCUACAUGUAUAUAACAAAUAAAUAAAUCUUAAAAAAAAAAUUUCACCACAUGUCCGACUAAUGAUUCUACUUAAUACAGCAUACACCUCUUGGCAGGAGAUUCAACAAUAUUUUAAUAUGUUUGUUUUUGUGAUUUGUCACCUAAAAUUUUCAGAUAUGUAUAGUAAAGUUUUUCUUGAAAAGUGGAAAAUAUAUUUUGUUUUGUUUUUGUUUUUCAUGUCCCAGUAACCCAGCAAUCCUGCAACAGCAAACAUGAUAGCAAAUCCAACAGCAGCAAGGGGAGAGUCAAAAGGGGCAGUGGUCACCAUGGGCCCUCUCAGGGGCUCUUCCAUUUAUACCCUCUCCAGAGUUUCCAGAAUUAAACUAUCUGGAACUGGCAAAAACACACCCCCUCCUCCAGCACAAGGCAACCAUAGUUAAUGGCCAUGGAUCAACUGAAACAGCCCUCUAUCCCACACCUGGGGUUAAAAUACAAACAGUCAUAUAACAUAACUGUCUUGUUUUGUUUUUUUACCCCUCCCCCAUAACUGAGUUUUUUAAGAGGUCAAAACUUUCACUACAUAGGGUUUCCACUGUGGAGCAAAUAUCAGGCCAGUGUCGAGAAGAGCCAGUAUUAACUGGUGACUAGGAUAAAGUAUGGUAUUUACAAGAACAAGCCCAUACUUGACCCAGUUAUAGAGGGAGCUGUAAGAGAUGGCACUCUCUGGCCGAUAGUGGGAGGGGCAGAGUGCAGAGGUCAGGCCUGAGUUCAAAGAAUGUGGGCACCAAACAAAGCUUGGUAUAAAAAACAACCCCAGAACUGUUUGAUUUAAGGACAAGGAGGUGGGUGGGAAUGCUGAAGGAACUGAAUACCGAUUACAUUCUAGAGUAAGGAUUGUAUAUAGAGAAUGGUAUAAUUUAAAAAAAAAAUGGUUUCUUUAAUUCAACAAAGUAGCAGUGAGAACUUCAGUUGUUGCUGUUGUAUUUUGCAGCAUGGUGCAGAAAAACACCUAAGGAUUAACAAGCAACAAACAAACGCUUGGCCAAUUUAUUCUGCUUCAUUGUCAUUGAUUUUAAGGUGGCUCUGCAUGACUUCUAGUGACCAUAUCUGACAAUGAUUUAACAACUUCAGUAUUUGAAAUGUUAGGUUCUGCCUAGUGGAUUUCUAUAAGGUAUUGUCUCAAAGACUCAAUAAAAUUCAGACUAGUUAGGCACCGUGGCACACACUUUUUAUCCAGUACUCAGGAGUCAGAGGCUGCCCCAUUUCUGUGAGUUCCAGGCCAGAUGGAGUUAUGCAGUGAGACUGUUUCAAAAAACAAAACCAACCAGACAACAACCCCAAACAAACAAACUCCAGACUAGAAUAUGGGUUUUAGUUUCCAAUAGGAGGAGGAAUGUCUUUUGGAGUCAAGGUACGAAAUUUUCAUAUUGUUGUUACAGAACAUGGGGGAGGGGGGAUGAUUUAAAAGAGGAAAGUAUCAGAGACACCGUGAAUACAUUCCAGCAUGGUAAAGAAUAUAUGAGAGUAGGUGAGGUAUGUCAAGGAAGUGAUGAAUUUGUGUGAUGAGCUUGCUUUCUCCUUAUUCAGUCUAGAACUCCAACUCAAGAAAUGGUUGGUUCCAUCCUCAGUUAGGGCAGGUCUUCCCACUCAAGUGACCUAAUCUAGAUGAUCUCUCACAGACACUCCUAGAAUCUUGCCUUUUUAGUAAUUACAGGUCCUGCCAGGUGGGCAAUCAUUAUUAAUCACGGGAAGGGCCUGUAUAUGUAGAUUAGGCCGGGUUUGAACUGAAACUUACUGAUAACUGAGGAUGACCUUGAACCCUGACCUGCGGCCUUAUGGCCCAGGUGAUGGGAUUACAGGGUUGUCCCUCCACAUCCAGCUACAGGUAUUUUAACGUCAUCGUAAGAAAGCUAGAAGAUUGCCUAUCUACCGUUUUUCUCAUUAAUUUUUUAAUGUAAUGGUUUUUAAAUAUUGUGGGAGCUGGUAUUGAAGGUGAGGUUUGAAAAUGUCCUGUAUGGUUUACUCUUCUUAUUAACAUGAGUUUACUUCUUACGUGUUCGUUCUAGCAUUCUGUUCACUAGAUAUUUCCUCAGGAACCAAUUAUGUUGCAAAUAAGUGUUUAUUCCAGAGCUCCGUGAAAUAUUCAUCAAAGUUUCAGUAGAAGACUCCGAAUGACUGCUUCUUGGUUUGUUCUCAGCCUUUGGGAUGGUUAUAAAAUAUUUUGUUCUAUGUGUCCAGUAACAGGCUUCUACCCAAGACCCAAAUGCAUGAUUUUGGAAGGGAAAAUUUUCAGCUUAGGGAUGCCUUCCGAUGACCAAAGUAGUCGACAUCCUUCGCCCUCAUGAGAGAUCCUCCAUCCAGCAGUCAAUCACAGCUACCAAAAACAACUUGUACACCUUGGAAGACCUACACUUCUCUAUUCUGAAGAACGAAUAAGAUAGAUAAGAGGGACUAUAUUGCAGACUUUCAUUUCAUUUCUUUCUUGAAAUGAAAAACUCUUUUUUUUUUGUUAGAGAUAAUCUCUAUUUUCUAAUCAUCUAUUAAAAAUUGUUGGGUAGUCAAUUAGAUAAGAUGGAUGAAGCAAAGAAGUGCAGGCCGACAGGAACCGGAUGUAGAUCUCUCCUGAGAGAUACUGCCAGAAUACAGCAAAUACAUAGGCGAAUGCCAGCAGCAAACCACUGAACUGAGAACGGGACCCCCGUUGAAGGAAUCAGAGAAAGGACUGGAAGAGAUUGAAGGGGCUCGAGACCCCUUAUGAACAACAGUGCCAAGCAACCAGAGCUUCCAGGGACUAAGCCACUACCCAAAGACUAUACAUGGACUGACCCUGGGCUCCAACCUCAUAGGUAGCAAUGAAUAGCCUAGUAAGAGCACCAGUGGAAGGGGAAGCCCUUGGUCCUGCCAAGACUGAACGUGAUUGUUGGGAGGAGGGUGGUAAUGGGGGAGGAUGGGGACGGGAACGCCCAUAUAGAAGGGGAGGGGGAGUGGCUAGGGGAAUGUUGGCCCGGAAACCGGGAAGGGGAAUAGCAAUUGAAAUGUAAAUAAGAAAUACUCAAGUUAAUAAAGAUAAAAAAAUUGUUGGGUAGUAAUUUUCUGGUUGUUGACUUUUUCCCUUUACAAACUGACCAAAAAGAUUGAUACUAUGUAAUAAUAGCUAAGUAAGGAGAAAGAAGAUGGUAUCUUCAGGUGGUAUUGGUGGUUCAGUGGUAGGAUUCUCGCCUGUCACGCGGGAGGUUCGAGUUUGAGUCCCGGCCAGUCCAUAGCGAAGCAUUUAUAAAGAUUUAUUUUAAAUAAAACCACCAGAAAGAAACAAAACAAGGACAACAGAACAAAAACAAAACAAACAAGCAAAUAAAAA
Non-coding RNA from Rattus norvegicus (Norway rat), 23433 nucleotides. The record is from RefSeq and is a predicted model, not a curated record. Lineage: Eukaryota; Metazoa; Chordata; Mammalia; Rodentia; Muridae.